UCUUCCGAUCUCAUAUUUCAUAUAUUUUGUAAGUUUAUAACCAAAUAAGAGAAAACUACUUGAGUUUUUUUUUAUUUUAAAGAUUGAAUUUGUUCCCCUUCUUGUCAAUUAAUCAAACAAUAGUAGAGAUUUUUGUGCUCUGAUAAUUUUGUGUAGAUUAAAGAAGGUGCCAGAUUGUUAGUGUCUGGAAAAUUGAGGUUCAAUCUGUAUAACAAUUGUGAAAUAGCAACUCUAGCCCCCCUAGAUCUAAAUAUUAACUUGUUUGUUCACAUAGAAAAUAUUUAUAUUUUUAAAUGGAAAUUUAGAAUUUAUACAUGAAUGUUGAAAUGUUUGUCUAAAAAUACUAUAUUAUAAUCUGUAGUAACAAAAGUAAUAAUAAAGUUUAAAAUGUUUUCUAUUUGAAUAAUACAAUAUAGUAAAUCCUUGUUUAACAUAAGGGACAGAUUAAUAAGUUGGAAUCAUAUAACAUUAGUUGUAGAAAAUCGGUAAUUAUAAAUUAUAGUGCAAUAGGGCUGAUUUAUCAUCACAAAAGUGCUUAGACUUUCCAGAGGAGUUGGGAUUGAAUUAAGAGCCCAUUUCUUGGAAAAUUUAUGGGGGAUCCAGCCCUACCUUGUCUAUUUCCUCUACUGUCCAGUUGGCAUUCAUGAAUAUAGGUGAAAUAUAAUAGGAUCUGAAAUGCAAUAUAAUUAGUGAAAUAUAAUAGGAUCUGAAAUGCAAUAUAAUUAGUGAAAGAUUGAGAACUAACAUAAAGAAAAAAAAAUAAUCAUAGACAUAAUAUUAUGAAUUCUAAAGUGUCUUUUUAUUAUAAAACAUUUUCUUUCUUGUUAAUCAUGACAUAUAACAGAUAUUUAACAUUUUUCAAUUGAAAAUUAAAACCAUACUUUUCAUUCAUGCUAUUUCAUUAUUAAACAAUAUGCUAAUGAUUAUAUGGUAAAAAUUAUCAAAUAGCAUCUCUUCUAAUACCAGAAAGAAAGCAUUCUAGAACUAUAACUAGGACUAGACCUAUGGGAUUUCUGGUUUCAGUUAAGCCUAUGGAAUUUUUAGUUUCAAUUAGCAUCAUUUCAGUUAAAGUCACUAUUUUCAGGAAUCUAAUCCCAAUGUUAAACAAGGAUCUACUAUAUAUUAAAUUGAAACUGAAAGUCAUAUUUAUAAUAACUUAUUUAUUAGUCAAAUUCUUGAAUCUAAAAUUUGCUUUAAUAUAUAAUUUAUGCAGGAAACUACAUUUAUCAGUUUAUCUUCUUCC
This 1243-nucleotide long non-coding RNA is filed under the name Androctonus crassicauda. Lineage: Eukaryota; Metazoa; Arthropoda; Arachnida; Scorpiones; Buthidae. The record is from RNAcentral.